GACGAACGCUGGCGGCGUGCCUAAUACAUGCAAGUAGAACGCUGAAGGGAGGAGCUUGCUCUUCUUGGAUGAGUUGCGAACGGGUGAGUAACGCGUAGGUAACCUGCCUUGUAGCGGGGGAUAACUAUUGGAAACGAUAGCUAAUCCGCAUAACAAUGGAUGACCCAUGUCAUUUAUUUGAAAGGGGCAAAUGCUCCACUACAAGAUGGACCUGCGUUGUAUUAGCUAGUAGGUGAGGUAACGGCUCACCUAGGCGACGAUACAUAGCCGACCUGAGAGGGUGAUCGGCCACACUGGGACUGAGACACGGCCCAGACUCCUACGGGAGGCAGCAGUAGGGAAUCUUCGGCAAUGGGGGCAACCCUGACCGAGCAACGCCGCGUGAGUGAAGAAGGUUUUCGGAUCGUAAAGCUCUGUUGUAAGUCAAGAACGAGUGUGAGAGUGGAAAGUUCACACUGUGACGGUAGCUUACCAGAAAGG
This 480-nucleotide ribosomal RNA is filed under the name Streptococcus salivarius. RNAcentral describes it as "bacterial SSU rRNA". It matches the Rfam family "Bacterial small subunit ribosomal RNA", at positions 28 to 491 of the family's 1533-position model. Lineage: Bacteria; Bacillati; Bacillota; Bacilli; Lactobacillales; Streptococcaceae. The record is from RNAcentral.